AGAACGAACGCUGGCGGCAUGCCUAACACAUGCAAGUCGAACGAAGGCUUCGGCCUUAGUGGCGCACGGGUGCGUAACGCGUGGGAAUCUGCCCCUUGGUUCGGAAUAACAGUUGGGAAACGACUGCUAAAUACCGGAUGAUGACGAAAAGUCCAAAGAUUUAUCGCCAAGGGAUGAGCCCGCGUAGGAUUAGCUAGUUGGUGAGGUAAAGGCUCACCAAGGCGACGAUCCUUAGCUGGUCUGAGAGGAUGAUCAGCCACACUGGGACUGAGACACGGCCCAGACUCCUACGGGAGGCAGCAGUUAGGGAAUAUUGGACAAUGGGCGAAAAGCCUGAUCCAG
Molecule: ribosomal RNA, 342 nt
Filed under: uncultured soil bacterium
Lineage: Bacteria
Description: bacterial SSU rRNA
Rfam family: Bacterial small subunit ribosomal RNA
Source: RNAcentral